GGGGGGAUAGCUCAGUGGUAGAGCAUUUGAUCAGAUCGAGAGGUCCCCGUUCAAACCGGGGGGCCCCUUUUUUUCA
Molecule: non-coding RNA, 76 nt
Organism: Trichonephila inaurata madagascariensis
Lineage: Eukaryota; Metazoa; Arthropoda; Arachnida; Araneae; Nephilidae
Source: the annotation of a GenBank genome assembly